This 253-nucleotide long non-coding RNA is filed under the name Elaeis guineensis (African oil palm). RNAcentral describes it as "long non-coding RNA (EGUI_LNC054875)". The record is from RNAcentral. Lineage: Eukaryota; Viridiplantae; Streptophyta; Magnoliopsida; Arecales; Arecaceae.
ACCAAACUCAACUGGUGUAUUCUUCGAUUCAACAUCUUCAUUUGGUGCAUGACUUGAAGAUGAAACUUCAAAACUUUGAGUCUCCUGUUGGAUGUUUUCCUUCUCUUUACUUUCAUUUAUUAUGCCUCUUCUCAAUACAUUUGAUUCAUCAAAGUACAUAUUACAUAUUGUGAUAAUUUUGUAGGCUACUGGAUCCCAUAACUGAAAUCCUUUCAUAACUUUUAUAUAGCUAAUAAAGAUACACUUCCUUGAU